GACGAACGCUGGCGGCGUGCUUAACACAUGCAAGUCGAACGGAAAGGUCCUGCUUUUGUGGGGUGCUCGAGAGGCGAACGGGUGAGUAACACGUGAGUAACAUGCCCUUGUCUGUGGGAUAACUUCAGGAAACUGGGGCGAAUACAGGAGAGGAUCUCCUGCUGCAUGGGGGGGGUUGGAGAAAGUCGGCGGUGGGGGAUGGACUCGCGGCUUAUGAGCUUGUUGGUGGGGUAGUGGCUUACCAGGGCUUCGACGGGUAGCCGGCCUGAGGGGGUGACCGGCCACAUUGGGACUGCGAUACGGCGCAGACUCCUACGGGAGGCAGCAGUGGGGAAUAUUGCACAAUGGGCGGAAGCCUGAUGUAGCAACGCCGCGUGCGGGAUGACGGCCUUCGGGUUGUAAACCGCUUUCGCCUGUGACGAAGCGUGAGUGACGGUAAUGGGUAAAGAAGCACCGGCUAACUACGUG
This 468-nucleotide ribosomal RNA is filed under the name uncultured bacterium. RNAcentral's name for it is "partial 16S ribosomal RNA". It matches the Rfam family "Bacterial small subunit ribosomal RNA", at positions 28 to 507 of the family's 1533-position model. The record is from RNAcentral.